Molecule: long non-coding RNA, 304 nt
Filed under: Salvia miltiorrhiza (redroot sage)
Lineage: Eukaryota; Viridiplantae; Streptophyta; Magnoliopsida; Lamiales; Lamiaceae
Description: long non-coding RNA (SMIL_LNC005364)
Source: RNAcentral
UUGGAUUAUUUUAUCAAUCAUGCCUUGUCACUAAAACUAAACUCCUUUUAAAAGUAAAUGCCCCCUUGAAGAAUAAAGAUGAAGCAAUUCAAACUGAAAGGUGGCUAAGGAAGAUGGCUAAUUCUGAUAAUUAUUAUUAUACAUACAAAAUGAAAGGUGGCUAGCUAAGGAAGAUGAUAUUAGGUCAUAUGAUUAAGCAAUUAACAGUAAUGGCUUGACCGGAACAAUUGUCAACGUAGCAGGUGAUUUUCAAUGUCAAUAAUAAUACAAUAUUUAUGAAAUUGCAAAAACAUUUAAUUGUCAG